This 200-nucleotide unclassified non-coding RNA is filed under the name Hevea brasiliensis (rubber tree). Lineage: Eukaryota; Viridiplantae; Streptophyta; Magnoliopsida; Malpighiales; Euphorbiaceae. The record is from RNAcentral.
CCCGCGCGAUCUCCGCCAGAUCGGCAGCAUCGCGAAGUCCCAUAUUGAGACCCUGUGCGCCGAUCGGCGGCAGCACAUGCGCGGCUUCGCCGACCAGCGCGAUGCGUUUCGCCGCGAGAUCGGGGUUCUCGAUCGCCAGUGGAAACACAUGACGGCCCGGCGCGACGGUGAGUUUUCCAAGGAUCGAAUGCGAUUGCUUC